AGGGUGCGAGCGUUAAUCGGAAUUACUGGGCGUAAAGCGCAUGCAGGUGGUUUGUUAAGUCAGAUGUGAAAGCCCGGGGCUCAACCUCGGAAUUGCAUUUGAAACUGGCAAACUAGAGUACUGUAGAGGGGGUAGAAUUUCAGGUGUAGCGGUGAAAUGCGUAGAGAUCUGAAGGAAUACCGGUGGCGAAGGCGGCCCCCUGGACAGAUACUGACACUCAGAUGCGAAAGCGUGGGGAGCAAACAGGAUUAGAUACCCUGGUAG
Molecule: ribosomal RNA, 264 nt
Filed under: uncultured bacterium
Lineage: Bacteria
Description: partial 16S ribosomal RNA
Rfam family: Bacterial small subunit ribosomal RNA
Source: RNAcentral